UGAACCGCUUCCUUUUGUAGGCGCUGGUUUAUAUACGCCGGCUAGCACUUUCCCUGGACGGUUCUACUGAGUAGUAUGGAGUCGCUUCUAAAGAACUUCUCACUCAAUUAAUCGGAAAACUAAACUCGUAAAAAAGUUAAUUAGUUAAUUGAAAAACACAUAAGGACAUAGUAUGCAGCCAGGAGGACGUGUAGUCGAUAAUUGGGUAUCGGAUCGGAUACUACAAGCCCGUCGUCGGCAGUAUACUUAACCGAGCAGAGUGCCUACAUUGAAUCGAACAUGAACAUAAUCGCGACACCUUGUCAUAUAUCAGAGAACGUGUAUUACCUUCACCUCAGAUUACAUGAGUGCGGAACUUGUUUUUGUUGGACAAUUGCGGUUAGAAGAUCGAGAUUUUGGAGAAGAUAAGGCGAAGAUAUUUUCAAACGGUCGACAAGUACUUGCUUGCUAAGAAUAAUAAGAAAGAAGUUGGUUGGGUAAUAAUAAUAUUGAAAAAGAAGUCACGAACCCCGAUAGAAGGCACGCGCCUUUCUUUUCUUCGAGAUUUUGGGAUUAGGCCGAAGAUCGCUGGUGAAACUAUUUGCAAGAGCCUCCAAGCUGUUUGCAGGUGCAACUCAGGCUACCAGGAAGACUAAAAAAAAGAGGAUGGACAAAGAAUAUAGGGACAAAUUACCUGUUCUUAACACUCUAAAGGUAAUCGUGAUUAGUAUUGUCUUUAUCGGUACGUGCCGAACAGAGAUCGCUGAUACUGCAGGUGCCGGGUUUUCCGUUUUCGGUUGUCACUAUUAUGUAGGAUGGAACGGAAGUUUGAUGUUGGGAAAAUGGGUGACGUGGCGAAAUUACGAGUCAGGGAGUUGCUCAAUUUAAUAGACGGCUUUCAGUGACUAUUAGUGGUGUGUAAUCAUAGAUGAGUUUUUGAGGACUGGAAUUAUGGUUGGAGAUCCUUCGGAGAUAAACGCUUUUAUUGGUGAGGAUUCAUCCAGUAGAAUCCUUCGGCCUUGGGGCCCUUUUUUGCCACAUUGUUGUAAUGGGUUAGACGCACAUCAUGAAUUUUAAAUGAUAUCAGCUCACGGCGACGCAUUAUUUCAUACAUCAAAUGUUACUUCCCAAGUCUACUGAAGUUACGGCGGCUAACAUUCCAAAUUACACACUGAUAGAAGGAUUUGUUUAUAGUUAAAAAGAUUUGUUAAUAUUUAACAAAUCAUUUAUU
Cotesia glomerata is the source of this 1210-nucleotide long non-coding RNA. RefSeq lists it as uncharacterized. The record is from RefSeq and is a predicted model, not a curated record. Lineage: Eukaryota; Metazoa; Arthropoda; Insecta; Hymenoptera; Braconidae. The transcript is spliced from 4 exons.